CAACCCGGGUCAUCGAGCAGGCCCGCGAGGCCAAAGCGGCCGGGGCCGAGCGCUUUUGCAUGGGGGCCGCGUGGCGUCAGCCGCCCG
RNAcentral lists this transfer RNA (87 nucleotides) under Pararhodospirillum photometricum DSM 122. RNAcentral describes it as "tRNA-Leu". The record is from RNAcentral. Lineage: Bacteria; Pseudomonadati; Pseudomonadota; Alphaproteobacteria; Rhodospirillales; Rhodospirillaceae.